RNAcentral lists this ribosomal RNA (433 nucleotides) under uncultured bacterium. RNAcentral's name for it is "partial 16S ribosomal RNA". It matches the Rfam family "Bacterial small subunit ribosomal RNA", at positions 29 to 507 of the family's 1533-position model. The record is from RNAcentral.
AACGAACGCUGGCGGCAUGCCUAACACAUGCAAGUCGAACGAGACCUUCGGGUCUAGUGGCGCACGGGUGCGUAACGCGUGGGAACCUGCCCUUAGGUUCGGAAUAACUCCCCGAAAGGGGUGCUAAUACCGGAUAAUGUCUUCGGACCAAAGAUUUAUCGCCUUUGGAUGGGCCCGCGUUGGAUUAGCUAGUUGGUAGGGUAAAAGCCUACCAAGGCGACGAUCCAUAGCUGGUCUGAGAGGAUGAUCAGCCACACUGGGACUGAGACACGGCCCAGACUCCUACGGGAGGCGGCAGUGGGGAAUAUUGGACAGUGGGCGAAAGCCUGAUCCAGCAAGGCCGCGUGAGUGAUGAAGGCCUUAGGGUUGUAAAGCUCUUUUACCCGGGAUGAUAAUGACAGUACCGGGAGAAUAAGCACCGGCUAACUCCGUG